GCGGUCGUGGUGAAAUUGGUAGACACGUCAGGUUUAGGUCCUGAUGGCGCAAGCUGUGGGGGUUCAAGUCCCUCCGUCCGCACCA
This 85-nucleotide transfer RNA is filed under the name Holosporales bacterium. RNAcentral describes it as "tRNA-Leu". It matches the Rfam family "tRNA". Rfam says of the family: Transfer RNA (tRNA) molecules are approximately 80 nucleotides in length. Their secondary structure includes four short double-helical elements and three loops (D, anti-codon, and T loops). The record is from RNAcentral. Lineage: Bacteria; Pseudomonadati; Pseudomonadota; Alphaproteobacteria; Holosporales.